This 64-nucleotide transfer RNA is filed under the name Phaonia perdita. Its description in RNAcentral is "tRNA-Arg". Lineage: Eukaryota; Metazoa; Arthropoda; Insecta; Diptera; Muscidae. The record is from RNAcentral.
GAAUAUGAAGCGAUUUAUUGCAAUUAGUUUCGACCUAAUUUUAGGUAUUAUUUACCCCUAUUCU